RNAcentral lists this ribosomal RNA (486 nucleotides) under uncultured bacterium. Its description in RNAcentral is "bacterial SSU rRNA". It matches the Rfam family "Bacterial small subunit ribosomal RNA", at positions 30 to 530 of the family's 1533-position model. The record is from RNAcentral.
AUUGAACGCUGGCGGAAUGCUUUACACAUGCAAGUCGAACGGCAGCACGGGGGCAACCCUGGUGGCGAGUGGCGAACGGGUGAGUAAUACAUCGGAACGUGCCCAGUCGUGGGGGAUAACGUAGCGAAAGUUACGCUAAUACCGCAUACGAUCUACGGAUGAAAGCGGGGGAUCGCAAGACCUCGCGCGAUUGGAGCGGCCGAUGUCAGAUUAGGUAGUUGGUGGGGUAAAGGCUCACCAAGCCGACGAUCUGUAGCUGGUCUGAGAGGACGACCAGCCCACACUGGGACUGAGACACGGCCCAGACUCCUACGGAGGCAGCAGUGGGGAAUUUUGGACAAUGGGCGCAAGCCUGAUCCAGCCAUGCCGCGUGAGCGAUGAAGGCCUUAGGGUUGUAAAGCUCUUUUCAGGGGGAAGAUAAUGACUGUACCCCCAGAGAAGCCCCGGCUAACUCCGUGCCAGCCAGCCGCGGUAAGGUAACUCUAU